Molecule: long non-coding RNA, 1776 nt
Organism: Myotis davidii
Lineage: Eukaryota; Metazoa; Chordata; Mammalia; Chiroptera; Vespertilionidae
Exons: 2
Source: RefSeq, a predicted model, not a curated record
GAAACAAACAAAAAACCCAAGCAAACCUAGUAAGUAGAGGAAAAUAUUUUUGAAGAAUGUGUUUCAACAAGAGUAACCAGGGGAAAUUAUGCCAAAUAUCCUGAGAGGAGCGGACGGGGAAACCCGAUACAGUAAUAAGCCUCUAGUAGCGGUGGAUCAGUUCUACUACCAUGGGGUGGGGAUGGAAAUCGAGGACAAGGAGGAAGGUAUUCCUUGAACUGUAUAGCUAAAAACCUAAAAAACCGGGGCAAUUUAUAUUUGAUAUGCCCACAUGGACCAUGGGGCAGGUUUGAGUUAAGCCGGGGGCGGGGGCUUGAAAUGCAGAGGCUGCGGGGCAGAAAUUCAGAAAGUGGUAUAACGCCCUGAAAUGCCUCGGCGGAGGGAGCGGCUGUGCUUUGCCUACGGGUGGGAAUAUACUCAUGGGACGCCUGGGCGUCUCCCAAAAGAGCCCAAGGGGGAAAGGUGACGGCGACAAUGCUGCACGCGAGUCCCUACUCCACCUCCAUCACUAAGAGCACCAGACACACCCAGUACCGGAGCGCCAGCUGGCCUCUGGGUGGCGACCGCGAAAGUCUCAGCAGACGCCAGCGAAAACUUCUUGUUCCCGGCUCCCCUGGCCGCCAGUUCCGAGAUAACCUUCUCCUCCAGAGCCCAGAGGGGCGGACGGCUUGGGCGCGCGUCUCUGCACACCGGAGGGAGCAAGGGAAGCGGGGUCUGGGCGACAAUGCAGGAGAAAGCCCUGUGCUGUGCAUGCGCCUAGGGACGGGGACCAAGGCGGGUGGGGAAGCAGAGCGGCCGGAAAGGCACUGGCGCCCGAAACUACUACUACAAAGAGCAGUCACGAGCCACCGAAAGUCACGUGAUAGCACAGCCGUAGCCGUCACGUGGCCCUCGGGGCGGGGCCUGUGGUAGGUUACAAUCUCGUAGCGAGUCCCGUGCGCCCCGGUGAAGGCUUCCGCAUCUUCAGCGGUACCUAGACUGGCGCUAUUUCCUUGAAUCGGCUUGCUCCCCGGAAAUGGGGACGUCCCUUCUUGCCAGAAAAGGAAGUUAGGCCGGAAGGAGAAGCAGGUGUCCGGGCCCCGCGCGGAAGCACGCCCCGCUGCAGACGUAGGACCCGCGGGUAUCCACGCGUGUCACAGAUGCAAGGUUCCGUUGCGGUCCUAGGGGGACGCUGCCGCGUCGUGACGUUAGAAUACGGUUUCCGGGGAAACGGGCUUUGCGGGCUGGCUGCAUCCCGAGUGAUCUUGAGGUUUCCUCCCUGGCGGGGCCUGGCCGCCUCUUGGCCGCGUUUCCCCAGUUCUGUGGUCGAGGUCCCUGCGGAGCUUUCGGGAAUGGAGAAGUCCAGGGAGGUACUUUGCCCAUAUGCAAAACGACUAAAAAUCUUAAAAGAGUCGUCCAAAAUCUCCCCACAAAGCAGACUCCAGGCAGCCCUGGCUCUUUGACAAGUCCAGCCAAACGUAAGGAAAACAGAAUUUCCAUCUUAAUCAAAUACUUCCAGGAGAUACUUUCAGGGUGGCCAUGAGUAUUUAUGAGCUUAUGCAGAAGGAAAUAAUGUCUUCCAAGGUAGCUGAGACCAGCUUCUGAUGCCCAGAAAUCUGAUGUGAAAAAGUGUUAUUUGUGGCUGAAGAAACACAGACUUCUCUCUCAGUUUCCUGAAACUCUCCCUCCUUCUUUCUCUCCUUUAAAACUCUUCUGCUAGGUAUGGAACUUUGGAGAUGGUCUUUGGACAUUAGCCUGCCGUCUUCCUGAAUAAAGCAAAAAUUCCUUUUCACCCAA